AAAUCUACAGGUGUAAAUUUGAAAUAAUCAUGACUGUAAUUUUGAACAAAAAUACAGGUCUUUAACAGCUGUAAAAUUUCAUACAGGCUGAGCUGUGACCCGAUAACUCUACAGGAUCUAGGCCUACAGGAGCCAUGAAUUUUAAUGCAACUGUAAUAUAUGGUAAUAAUGGUAAUUGCUUCACAAGUAAGCAGGAACCGAAGCUAUAGUAGUUUCUACUAGGGAAUUUGGGAAAAAGAAGAUAGGUAUGUAGGCCUAGUGGAUCGUAAAUGGACACCUAUCACUGACGAAGUAACCAAAGUCAUACUGUAGAAUAAGUUGAUCACAACCAUGGACCAUGUGUACUCAGCUGCAGAGAUAGAACUGGGUCAAGAGGUAGAGACAGAGCUGCCCAACAGCAGUGAGAGGUAAAUGUAACAGCUGCAGUUGAAAUUUUGGAAACUCAGCAUGCUCAGAUUGAUGAAUGCACAAGCACAGGUAGUCAAUCCAUGAAAUCCAUGAGUACACAGCACCAUAAAGGCCCAAUCAACCUGGGAUAUAUCUCUAACAGAAGGGCAAGGCAAAAGUGUUUUUCAAAAAGAUUGAAGACUUAAGUCUCGGGCAAUGGCUCUUCACAACCUAUGUGGGGCGAAGGUGGAGCUCAGGGUGGCUCUGCUACCAGUAGCCUUCAGACAUGUGAAGCUGCAGACAGGCGAGAGCAGCUUCGCAUGUCAAAGAGGAACAGUUGUAUCAUCCCCUCCUCCCCAGAUACACACACCAAAGAAGAAAAAGGUGAUCAACAAUAUGCCAGGGAAGAGGCCUGCAGAGAAGGCUAUUAAGCCAGUGACGGCUGUCAACAACAAAUGCUCAGUUUGCUCAAUUAUGUUUAAUUCUAAAGCAGACAAACUUUUCAGGAAAAGUUUGAUAUAGCGGAUGGACGUCAGCGGAGGUAACUAGAGUCGCGGAUCGGGACUAGGGCAUAACUUGCCAACAACAAAAAAAAGAGAAAAUUUUAGUGUGAUGUAAAAGUAAAACAGAAUGACAAGAGAGAAGUAAGUUCAGAAUUGAAGAGAUGCAGGUCUUUAUUCUACAUGGUGAAAGAGGAAUUUUUAGUGGAUUUUUGGAUUUACCAGUGAACCCUGUGAACUGUUAGUGAAGCAGAAUAGUUACAGAUCAUAAGAGAUGCUGGUCUUUGUUCAGCAUGGUGUAUAUGGAAAAUAUAGUGGAUGGCCAGUCUAGAAAACAUUUGAUGAAUCUAUAGGACAGUGAUGAGUGUACCAGUCGAUCAGUCUAUCCCAUUCUGUCCAGUCAACAAAUUUGCAGUGGCUACAUGGAUUCUCAUGUAACUUGGUAUUACUUUUCACAGUAACAAAGACAGAUUGCAAAAGUUUCUAGAGCAAUAUAUGAGGCAGAGCUGUCAGCAGUAUGCCAGAGACACGGCAAGAAGUACCCAUUGUUUUGCACUAAUUUUUUUCCAUAUGUAUGGCCAUGAACAGAUUUUCACAGAAAAAGUAAGAAAAUGCUGAUACCAGGGCACCGCUGGACAGACUGGAAGUUUUUAUGUAUAAAGUAGACACGCGGAGUGUUAAGACAACAUCAGACUGUUUUGCCAUACAAGAUGGAUGAGGAACCAUUGAUGUGUCAGGAACCAUCCCUGCUGGAGAGGAAAACACUCUAUUGAUAGGAUAGUUAGCUGGAAAUCCUGCAAGGGUCAAACUCUGCCAUGGAAGUUUGAAAGCUGCAAUAUGGGCUUUACUGUCUGACAAAUCACAUUUACCUCUGGCUGAGUGGAGGAGAAGAGAUCAUAAAAUGACACCUCUUGAGAUGCAGGUGCUCAUAGAUUUGUAUGACCAUAACUGGAGUGCACAGUCAUACAAAAUAACGCCAGUUGCUGAGGUCCAAGUUUCCAAGAAAUGGAUAAUUUUAAGGUAAUUUGACUUAGUUAAUGACGGAGUAUUUCUGACAUGAUGUCAUUAUAUUACAACAGUUUCAGGCCCAUUGAAACCAGAGAUUACAUUUAUUGGUGAUAAUUUGACAAAGCCAGUUGUAGAGUUUUUACAUGAGACAGUUGGGGAAAGUGAGUUUACAUUUUGAUGGAACCUCGUUACAUGUAUUUCUCCAUUACAAAAGGAACUGUAGGCCUGGAAGAUUGUUUAUGCCUACAUUUAAUCACAGUGCCAUAUGUUAGUUAGUUAAUUCAUCUGUGCUAAGUACUUGGUGUCUUGAGUUAUCGCUUUUAAACAGUUCAAGGGAUUCUAAUGAAACCUUAAACAGAUUUAAAUCAUAUUGAGAAGUUGUAUGCCAUAUACCUUAGUCAGAUUUUUACAUCCAAGGUCAAGGGCACUUCAUUUAAUGUGUUUUCAUUUUUAGUUUACACUUAAUUUAUUUUAGCUCAGUUGUGGUGAAACCUUCAAGCUUAUUUGAACCACACGAGUCCGCUUCCUGGAAAAACAAGUACUGAUGUCAUAAUAAGAUGGUGUGGUCGUGACCCCAUUGGGUCUCGAACCCAUGACCCCUGGGUUGAGCAACUGACACCUUAACCAUUAUACCACCUCUCCCACUUGCCUGUCUGUUACUGAUGACCUCUCUUGUUCAGUCUACUUGUAUAAUAUAUCUGAAUAGUUCCGUUUGUGCUCUGUCUUUCACCAGUAGGUCUUUGUGCAAGCCAGACAAAAAGUUACAAAAGUCGUGUUAAAUAUUUCAUUUUUUUUUGCAGACAUUUUUGACAACCAUAUACACUGUGAAACAUUUUAUAUUUCAUUUUUGCAAGAAAACUGUUACCACACUAAUAGAUAUUAACUUGGAAGUCCUUGCUGUUCUUACGGACUAUUAGAAUAUUAGAUGUCAUAUGUCUGCAUAAAACAGCCAAGUAACACAAAAUUGUAUGGUGACAAUAUUUUAUGAUUCUGUUGUAUUUCAUAUUCGUAUCAGCUUUUUAGCUCACCUGAGCAAUGCUAUGUGAGUUAUUGUGAUUGCUCGAUGUCAGGCAUCAGUGAUAAUAUUAGCACAGUGAACUAAACAUCAUUUGAUACGGUGGCAGAUAUGAUUUUCCAUCUAGGGUAUAAAUCAGAAAUUGCUAAGCUCGACAUUGAGUCAGCAUUUCGGCUCCUGCCUAUUUGUCAAGAAGAUUUUUGUUUGUUAGGUUUAAAAGACAAUGAUGGGAAUAUUUAUAUAGAUAAGUUUUUACCAAUGGGGUGCAAAAUAUUUUGUGCGUUAUUUGAAAAGUUUUCAACCUUCUUACAAUGGCUGGUCAAAUUUGUUGCACAACGAGACACGCUGGACCAUUACCUGGAUGAUUUUAUUUUUGCUGGAGUGGGUAAUACGAGUAAUUGUAGCGAUCUUCUUUGUACAUUUUUAUCAGUGUGUAGUUUGCUUGGAGUUCCUGUUGCCGAAGAAAAAUCGGGUGGUCCGUGCACUAAGUUGAUAUUUUUAGGGCUUGAGUUGGAUUCAGUUUAUAUGAUUAUAAGAAUUCCAUUGCAUAAAGUAGAUGAAUUGCGCGAGGAUAUAAAACAGGAUCUACUGAGAGAAAAAAAGUUACAUUAAAGACGUUUCAGUCGUUAAUAGGUAAAUUGGCUUUUUGUAGUCAAGCGAUACGUUGUAGUAGGGCAUUGCGUAGAUGCUAUGACGUUAUGGCCAGUGUGAAAAAACCGUAUCUUAGGUUGCGUAUUUCGGAAGCAGUUAAACUUGAUUUAGGUAUGUGGCUAACAUGUCUGGAUAAAUUUAAUGGUGUAACUUACUAGUAUAUCCCAGCAGACACAUGGUUAGAUAGUAAUAGUUUGCAGUUAUUUACAGACAGUGCUGGGUCCUCUGAAAUGGGCUGUGG
Molecule: long non-coding RNA, 3802 nt
Organism: Mercenaria mercenaria
Lineage: Eukaryota; Metazoa; Mollusca; Bivalvia; Venerida; Veneridae
Exons: 13
Source: RefSeq, a predicted model, not a curated record